CCUGCAUGAUGAGUCUUUUUUUUCAGUUCUGCUUCUGAAGAAGAAUGAAGACAACCAUAUACCAAAAACAAACUCUGAUAU
This 81-nucleotide small nucleolar RNA is filed under the name Thermothielavioides terrestris NRRL 8126. Lineage: Eukaryota; Fungi; Ascomycota; Sordariomycetes; Sordariales; Chaetomiaceae. The record is from RNAcentral.